Molecule: transfer RNA, 473 nt
Filed under: uncultured Alteromonadaceae bacterium
Lineage: Bacteria; Pseudomonadati; Pseudomonadota; Gammaproteobacteria; Alteromonadales; Alteromonadaceae
Description: partial 16S-23S ribosomal RNA intergenic spacer
Rfam family: tRNA (bases 107-180)
Source: RNAcentral
CCUCCUUACUAUAUACGAUACUGGUGACCUUGUAUUAAGCAGUGCUUACACAAAUUGUUUUGUUAUACCGAAGAAGAGAACACCAUCGAGUGCUUGGCACGACGAUAGGCUUGUAGCUCAGCUGGUUAGAGCGCACCCCUGAUAAGGGUGAGGUCGGCAGUUCAAGUCUGCCCAAGCCUACCACUAUUUUAGUGGAGUAAAACGAUGGGGCUAUAGCUCAGCUGGGAGAGCGCCUGCCUUGCACGCAGGAGGUCAGCAGUUCGAUCCUGCUUAGCUCCACCAAAUUCUAAUCCAUGACAUCUGAACGUUAUCCUCAGUGAUAGCGCAGUUAUUAUGCAUUAGCGUUUGCUAAAACUUGUUCUUUAACAAUAUGGAAAGCUGAUAAAAAAGUAAUCAAAACUGAGAAGAGUAUUUCAAGUACUUUACUCUAUCUGAUAACUGGCGAAAAAAAAUUAGCGAAGUCAUUGACCGCA